Molecule: long non-coding RNA, 529 nt
Organism: Musa acuminata AAA Group (dessert banana)
Lineage: Eukaryota; Viridiplantae; Streptophyta; Magnoliopsida; Zingiberales; Musaceae
Exons: 3
Source: RefSeq, a predicted model, not a curated record
AUGAAGCAUGGGAUCCUAGAUGAAUCCGACCCGUGUUGGAAACAGCCAAAUUUAUACCCAAACCCGCCAGCCCGCUUCCAACACCGUCCUCUAACCGAACUCUGUCCCCAACCAAACCCCAAUAGGAGGCCCCUCCUCCCCUCUCACCUCGCCAACACCGGUACCGGCGACGCGCCGCCGCUUCCUCCUCCGUUUGCUUCUCUCUCGAGGAUUUCUCAGCACCAGGCAUCUUCAACCAGCCAUGUAUCGAGGACCAAAUCCCAUCAAGGCCACCGGAAUUGGGACAAUGGCAUUGGACAUCCAAGAUCAUAUUGGCAGAAAUUGGUGUUUGGUGGGGAUUGGCCUGAUGCUCCUACAAUUGAUUGGUCCGGUAGAUGUGUCCUCUUCUGCUUCUGCCCUAAAUUGAACAAAUCCUGUAUGUUCAUCUUUGGUAGGGUGAUUUUGGCACUGUUUAUAUUAUGUUCUGGUGGUUGUAAAGGUGAAAUUAUAAUUCAUCUCAUUGCAGUAAAAGCAUUGGCAUUUCUUCUUA